RNAcentral lists this ribosomal RNA (511 nucleotides) under uncultured bacterium. RNAcentral's name for it is "bacterial SSU rRNA". It matches the Rfam family "Bacterial small subunit ribosomal RNA", at positions 15 to 518 of the family's 1533-position model. The record is from RNAcentral.
GAUUAUGGCUCAGGAUGAACGCUAGCUACAGGCUUAACACAUGCAAGUCGAGGGGCAGCAUUGGGGUAGCAAUACUCAGAUGGCGACCGGCGCACGGGUGAGUAACACGUAUCCAACCUGCCGCUUACUCGGGGAUAGCCUUUCGAAAGAAAGAUUAAUACCCGAUGGUAUAAAGAGUUCGCAUGUUCUCUUUAUUAAAGAAUUUCGGUAAGCGAUGGGGAUGCGUUCCAUUAGAUAGUUGGCGGGGUAACGGCCCACCAAGUCUACGAUGGAUAGGGGUUCUGAGAGGAAGGUCCCCCACAUUGGAACUGAGACACGGUCCAAACUCCUACGGGAGGCAGCAGUGAGGAAUAUUGGUCAAUGGACGAGAGUCUGAACCAGCCAAAGUAGCGUGAAGGAUGACUGCCCUAUGGGUUGUAAACUUCUUUUAUAAGGGAAUAAAGUGAGGGACGUGUCCCUUUUUGUAUGUACCUUAUGAAUAAGGAUCGGCUAACUCCGUGCCAGCCGCCGC